This 265-nucleotide ribosomal RNA is filed under the name uncultured bacterium. RNAcentral describes it as "partial 16S ribosomal RNA". It matches the Rfam family "Bacterial small subunit ribosomal RNA", at positions 28 to 298 of the family's 1533-position model. The record is from RNAcentral.
GAUGAACGCUGGCGGCAGGCCUAAUACAUGCAAGUCAAGGGGCCCCGCCUUUGGGCGGGGGCACCGGCGGACGGGUGAGCAGCGCGUACACAACGUGCCCCUGACCGGGGGACAGCGGCGGGAAACUGCCGGUAACACCCCAUGGCGCCGCGGGGCGGCAUUGCCCGGCGGCGAAAGUUUCGGCGGUCGGGGAUCGGUGUGCGUCCGAUUAGGUAGUUGGCGGGGUGACGGCCCACCAAGCCUGCGAUCGGAGGGGGUGUGAGAG